Molecule: long non-coding RNA, 408 nt
Filed under: Taeniopygia guttata (zebra finch)
Lineage: Eukaryota; Metazoa; Chordata; Aves; Passeriformes; Estrildidae
Description: lncRNA (ENSTGUG00000023678.1)
Source: RNAcentral
UUGUACCCCACAGGAGGUGCCAUCUGAAGGAAUUUUGUUCUUCACUUGCAGGCCCCUGACAGCCAAGAAGAGCUGAGGAACAAACUGCAGUAAAGGAGAGUGAGGAGAGAAAAAAAGGACUGAGCCUUAAAAAGGGUUGGCAGAGAGCCAAGGAGCCCUCCCUGUCCAGAGCCUGGAUAACCCCCUGACAUUUCCUGUUCGUCCUCUUUGCCCCGCUCUCCACAUGGACAUCACAGAAUAAAGAGAGCUGCGCCAACAUACAUCGGGGAUUUCGAUGGACAUGUAAUUAGAGGUGAAUGGAGUCUUCAGAGGUACGGCAACCACGAAAGCCAGCGGCAAAGUCAAAGUGUUUGUCUAAUUUCACAAUCGAAAUGAAACCAUGUGAAUGAAACCAUGUGGUCAGCUGCA